AUUGAACGCUGGCGGAAUGCUUUACACAUGCAAGUCGAGCGGCAGCGCGGGGCAACCUGGCGGCGAGCGGCGAACGGGUGAGUAACACAUCGGAACGUGCCCAGACGUGGGGGAUAGCCCGGCGAAAGCCGGAUUAAUACCGCAUACGAUCUGAGGAUGAAAGCGGGGGAUCGCAAGACCUCGCGCGUUUGGAGCGGCCGAUGGCAGAUUAGGAGUUGGUGGGGUAAAGGCUUACCAAGCCUGCGAUCUGUAGCUGGUCUGAGAGGAUGAUCAGCCACACUGGGACUGAGACACGGCCCAGACUCCUACGGGAGGCAGCAGUGGGGAAUUUUGGACAAUGGGCGCAAGCCUGAUCCAGCCAUUCCGCGUGCAGGACGAAGGCCUUCGGGUUGUAAACUGCUUUUGUACGGACGAAAAGCCCUUCUCUAAUACAGAGGGGUCAUGACGGUACCGUAAGAAUAAGCACCGGCUAACUACGUGCCAGCAGCCAC
This 491-nucleotide ribosomal RNA is filed under the name uncultured bacterium. RNAcentral's name for it is "bacterial SSU rRNA". It matches the Rfam family "Bacterial small subunit ribosomal RNA", at positions 29 to 518 of the family's 1533-position model. The record is from RNAcentral.